This 301-nucleotide ribosomal RNA is filed under the name uncultured bacterium. Its description in RNAcentral is "partial 16S ribosomal RNA". It matches the Rfam family "Bacterial small subunit ribosomal RNA", at positions 509 to 809 of the family's 1533-position model. The record is from RNAcentral.
CAGCAGCCGCGGGAAUACGUAGGUGGCAAGCGUUGUCCGGAAUUAUUGGGCGUAAAGGGCUCGCAGGCGGUUUCUUAAGUCUGAUGUGAAAGCCCCCGGCUCAACCGGGGAGGGUCAUUGGAAACUGGGAAACUUGAGUGCAGAAGAGGAGAGUGGAAUUCCACGUGUAGCGGUGAAAUGCGUAGAGAUGUGGAGGAACACCAGUGGCGAAGGCGGCUCUCUGGUCUGUAACUGACGCUGAGGAGCGAAAGCGUGGGGAGCGAACAGGAUUAGAUACCCCUGUAGUCCCUGUCUCUUAUAU